UGGGGAAUUUUGGACAAUGGGCGCAAGCCUGAUCCAGCAAUGCCGCGUGCAGGAUGAAGGCCUUCGGGUUGUAAACUGCUUUUGUACGGAACGAAACGGCGAACUCUAAUAAAGUUUGCUAAUGACGGUACCGUAAGAAUAAGCACCGGCUAACUACGUGCCAGCAGCCGCGGUAAUACGUAGGGUGCAAGCGUUAAUCGGAAUUACUGGGCGUAAAGCGUGCGCAGGCGGUUAUAUAAGACAGAUGUGAAAUCCCCGGGCUCAACCUGGGACCUGCAUUUGUGACUGUAUAGCUAGAGUACGGUAGAGGGGGAUGGAAUUCCGCGUGUAGCAGUGAAAUGCGUAGAUAUGCGGAGGAACACCGAUGGCGAAGGCAAUCCCCUGGACCUGUACUGACGCUCAUGCACGAAAGCGUGGGGAGCAAACAGGAUUAGAUACCCCCGUAGUCCCUGAGCGGGCUGGCAAGGCGCAU
This 472-nucleotide ribosomal RNA is filed under the name uncultured bacterium. RNAcentral describes it as "bacterial SSU rRNA". It matches the Rfam family "Bacterial small subunit ribosomal RNA", at positions 355 to 825 of the family's 1533-position model. The record is from RNAcentral.